Molecule: ribosomal RNA, 489 nt
Filed under: uncultured bacterium
Lineage: Bacteria
Description: partial 16S ribosomal RNA
Rfam family: Bacterial small subunit ribosomal RNA
Source: RNAcentral
UAGGGAAUCUUCCACAAUGGACGCAAGUCUGAUGGAGCAACGCCGCGUGAGUGAAGAAGGCUUUCGGGUCGUAAAACUCUGUUAUUGAAGAAGAACGUGCGUGACAGUAACUGGUCAUGCAGUGACGGUAUUCAAUCAGAAAGUCACGGCUAACUACGUGCCAGCAGCCGCGGUAAUACGUAGGUGGCAAGCGUUGUCCGGAUUUAUUGGGCGUAAAGCGAGUGCAGGCGGUCUUUUAAGUCUGAUGUGAAAGCCUUCGGCUUAACCGAAGAAGGGCAUCGGAAACUGGGAGACUUGAGUGCAGAAGAGGAGAGUGGAACUCCAUGUGUAGCGGUGAAAUGCGUAGAUAUAUGGAAGAACACCAGUGGCGAAGGCGGCUCUCUGGUCUGUAACUGACGCUGAGGCUCGAAAGCGUGGGUAGCAAACAGGAUUAGAUACCCUGGUAGUCCACGCCGUAAAACGAUGAAUACUAAGUGUUGGAGGGUUUCC